Molecule: long non-coding RNA, 3337 nt
Filed under: Strigops habroptila (Kakapo)
Lineage: Eukaryota; Metazoa; Chordata; Aves; Psittaciformes; Psittacidae
Description: lncRNA (ENSSHBG00005008588.1)
Source: RNAcentral
UUGCUCAUCUUAUUGUCCUAGGGCAGGAAUCUUGUGACCAGAGAGUAGUAUUACUAACAUCAGUCAGCAUGGCCCAAUACCUCUUUGUCUGGUUUAAUGUGCUAUAGGAGACAGGGACAGCUGGAAUCCCUUGCAAUUUUCAGCUGAGUGCUAAAGAAACCUAACUGGUUUACAUCCAGAUGUGUUCAGAUGUGAAAUUUAUGAGUUUAGGUGGAACACAUCUGAAACUCCAUGGGUUUUCAUGGUAUAAAGCCUUCUCUCUUAUUUUGGCUAGAGUUGCCGUUUGGAGAUUUUGUAUUAAUCCCAGCCUGUAAACCAGAGCAACAUUAGUGGGUGUGAACCUGGAGGAACCAUCCAAGCAGAAAAUGGUUUUCAUGAAAACCCAACCCAUCACAUUUUCAGCAGAUCUGCUUUAUUUCAACAAUUUUUGGCUUAAGACAUUAGGCAGGUGGCUAAAAACCUGCUGCUCUCAUACCCCCUUGUCUGAAGCCACUUUCCAAAGGAGAGGAAUUUUGAUUGAAUUCUAGUUUCGUUGAUCACCUUCCAAGACAGUCUAUCAGCCAAUGCAUUAGUUGUGCAAAUAGACUCCUGCCCAUUAAAAGUCUACAGAGAUGUGCCACUUAUGCCAACUCCUGAAUUAACCCAGUGGUAACAUGGUGAGUGUCUUUAUGGGUUAGGGGUUUUUUUUCACUUGAAAAUAUCUGAAAUAAUUUUAAUGUGUUACAACAUUCUGCCUCUGAGUAGAACAUAUUUUAAGAAAUGCACAGUGUGGGAGUCUGCUGUGUGUCCUACAGACACAGAGAAAGCACUCAAAAAGAGCAGAGCAGACAUAUCUUUGACCUGAUCUUAUACCCUCUGGAUGCAGCAUUACUCCAGCAGUCCAAGUAAAUCCUUACAGGCACCACAAGUUGCCUUAAAUCACCCCUCUUGCAAAGAGCAGCAUUUCUGGGCAGGGGUGCCACCACGUGAUUUUACCACCUUCCAAAGCCAGGCCCACUUAUGGCAUGCUUCCCAUGCCCAGGUUUGGGAGAGCUCAUUAGGCAACCCCACCUUGCCACCUUAAUUCCUGAUGUGCAGUGUCAUCCCUCUUAAUUUUCAAAGCUAUUAGAUUCCUUUUAUAAAUCUCUGUUCUACUCAACCAAAGCUCAAACACAUACAUUCUUCAGGUUUUGGGUAAUACCAUUGUGAAGGUCAGUAUUUUGGUUCACUACACAUAACUGUAUUGCAAAGUGAUAUUCAUAUCCUAUCAGAUUAUUGGAGUGAAAUGGGUGUUGUCUUUCUGGACAGCCAACAAUGGCAGAAAUUAAUCCACAUGAUAAUCUGAUUAUGUUUCUCAUAGCAGACAAAGUACUCAAUUAUGUGCUUACUUCUAUUUAAACUUAUAUUCUUUAUGAAAGUUACUGGAAAACAGUUUUAUUUAACAUCUGUAUUCAUAAACUCUGAGAACUGAGAAAGAGUACAAUGGGAGCAGAGAUGAGAAAUGGAAAGGAAGUAAAUCAAUAGGCUUACUCUCUUAGUCAAAUUUAAAUACUUACAUUUGUGGGAUGAAUGCCUAAUUGACAUGACUAAGAAAAAUGUUGGCUUUCUGUUGGGGAAAUACCAUUCAUAUACAUGGUUUGUGAAAUGAAAUCUGAGAAUAUGUGAUGCUGGAAGAGAUGUGAAAAAUGAGGAGUGGUGUAGAUGUGUAAGCUGCAUAUGAAAUUGCAGCCAAACUGCCACAGUGGGGGAACCUUGUAGCAGAGCAGAUGAUGGAUACUCCUAUGUUUUGCUGAACUCACAGAGGGGGCUGUAGCCUGGGCAGAAAGGCAGCAACAUUUUAUUUCUGCAGUGAUUGCAAGUUGAUAGUCCUACUUAGUCUGUUUAAAUGUGGUAGGUUCCUGAUUGUACUACAUUAUUAUGUGUCAGUCAGGUGAUUGACAAGUGAUCUUGUAAUGGCAACUUUUCUUAACCUGGAAAUACCUUACACAAGAUGAUCAGCCUCAGCUGCUACCUUUUAGCUAGAAAAGCUUCACAGAUGCCUGAUGCGGCAGCUAUGGACUUGUCCUGGCCAUUUGCCAUAUAAGUACAGUUUUGCAAACAGAUGUAUCCAAAUACUCAUAUACUAAGGUUGAUGAUAUUUGCCCUUUAAACUUGAUUUUCAGGGGCAAGUCUUUAAGCUGCUGGUUGGGGCUGGAAGGGUAAGAGAGGAUCACAACAGGGUCUCCUAUUGGCAGUGCGGAUCAGAGCAAAGGCACUGCUCCCCUCAUCCCCCUACUGGUCUGCACUUGUUCUUUGCGAUGCUGAAAAGCUUUUUGCAACACAUGGUGCCAGUGACAUUUAGUAAGAAAUCUGGGCCUUGAAUGAAUGCAGGAACACAUAAAUAAGCAAAGAAAUGAGAAGGAGUAAAAGAAAAAGCAGAAGGGACAACAGUGGUUGUACUUGUUUUCUUUGGAUCUUCUUUGGACUGUUUGCCUUCUCUCUCUGAAAUUAUUUGGGUGAACUGGUGCCUCCAUGGGGUUUUUUACUUUAAUUACCAAUGAACUAUGCAGAUGAAAUUUACUGAAUAAGAAGACAGAUGUACUCUGCAGAUUGGCAUGCAUACUCAUAAAUUUGGGAAAAGAGCAAGAUCUUACUUAUCACAUCUAAUUGGGCACAGACCAGAAGGACUGAGGAAUUUAUAGACAAUGUUUUCAUCCACUAAAAAAAUAAAAAAAUUAAAAAAAAAGAGACAUUUCUGAUUUGUAAACUGCUGGCUUCAUUCAAUUUAAAUCACAUCAGCGAUAACUGAAGUGGAGUCAUCAUUGCUUCCAGAGCUUGACUUGCUUGAGAGACAUCCAGAAGAGGAAAGAGCAGAAGUCAGGAGAAGCACAGAACAAAGAACACUGAAAAUAAUUAAAAGACAUAGGGAACUGAGUGCUUUGGAUAAAAAACAUCACUUCAUGUUUUCUUGCAGCUGGUGGACAGUGUGGAAGCAUAUGAGAAGCACAGAAAAUAAGGAUUCCCCAUGAGCACCAAAUGGGUCGUGAAAGGCAAGCAAAGCUGCCAAAGGCCAUAGAGACACAGGCAACUGCUGCCUGGCUCCCAGUUAUGGGGAGAGGUUGCUCAAUGUGGCCACUCUUUGCUCUACCCAGUUUUUACAAAGUAUAAAGAUUCCUGCGAGGAAUAACUAGUCAUUAGCAGAAUUCAUUCGUCUUCAACAAAUUCCCUUCAACAAACAGCAUCAGCACUGCUUGUGUAAGAGGAAAACAGAGAAGUAACAAUGCACAGCCAUGAGUAGCAAUCCCAGGGUGCAAACAACUGCAGAGCUGCAAAGCCUUCUUCGGGGGGGCUGGAAGAGGGAAAAAAGGGGAGUGUGGAU